This 411-nucleotide ribosomal RNA is filed under the name Sinorchestia nipponensis. RNAcentral describes it as "partial 16S ribosomal RNA". The record is from RNAcentral. Lineage: Eukaryota; Metazoa; Arthropoda; Malacostraca; Amphipoda; Talitridae.
GUAGCAAAAUCAUUUGUUUUUUAAUUGAAAACUGGUAUGAAAGAUUGAACAAGCAUAAGAUUUUUAUUUUGGCUUAUUAAAAUUUAUAUUUUAUGUAAAAAUACAUAAAUGUUUAAAAGGGACGAUAAGACCCUAAAAGCUUUAUUGUUUAAUUUGUUUAAAUUGUUUAGAUAGCACAAGUGUAUGUCAGUUUAACUGGGGCGGUUGUUUUUAAAAACAAAAAUUUUUUUUACGUUUAGGUCAUAAGAUCCUUUAGAAUAAGGAUAAAUAGUGAAAGUUACUUUAGGGGUAACAGCACGAUAAUGAUGGGGAGACCUUAUUUAUAUUGUUGAUUGUGACCUCGAUGUUGAAUUAAAAUUUCAUUAUAAAGCAGAAAUUAUAUUUGAAAGUUUGUUCAACUUUUAAAUUUUU